This 468-nucleotide ribosomal RNA is filed under the name uncultured bacterium. RNAcentral's name for it is "partial 16S ribosomal RNA". It matches the Rfam family "Bacterial small subunit ribosomal RNA", at positions 28 to 507 of the family's 1533-position model. The record is from RNAcentral.
GACGAACGCUGGCGGCGUGCUUAACACAUGCAAGUCGAAUGGAAAGGCCCUGCUUUUGUGGGGUGCUCGAGUGGCGAACGGGUGAGUAACACGUGAGUAACCUGCCCUUGACUUUGGGAUAACUUCAGGAAACUGGGGCUAAUACCGGAUAGGAGCUCCUGCUGCAUGGUGGGGGUUGGAAAGUUUCGGCGGUUGGGGAUGGACUCGCGGCUUAUCAGCUUGUUGGUGGGGUAGUGGCUUACCAAGGCUUUGACGGGUAGCCGGCCUGAGAGGGUGACCGGCCACAUUGGGACUGAGAUACGGCCCAGACUCCUACGGGAGGCAGCAGUGGGGAAUAUUGCACAAUGGGCGGAAGCCUGAUGCAGCAACGCCGCGUGCGGGAUGACGGCCUUCGGGUUGUAAACCGCUUUCGCCUGUGACGAAGCGUGAGUGACGGUAAUGGGUAAAGAAGCACCGGCUAACUACGUA